UCUUAAAAAUUUAAUCUAUUUUUACUAUUAAAACUGGUAUAGGUGAUGAUAUAACCAGGCACUCACAUGUUGUACAACACACAGGGACGAAUUUUAAAAAUAAAAAUAGAUGAAAUUUUUAAUA
This 124-nucleotide microRNA precursor is filed under the name Gossypium hirsutum (cotton). RNAcentral describes it as "MIR7502 microRNA precursor family". It matches the Rfam family "MIR7502 microRNA precursor family". Lineage: Eukaryota; Viridiplantae; Streptophyta; Magnoliopsida; Malvales; Malvaceae. The record is from Rfam by way of RNAcentral.